RNAcentral lists this transfer RNA (102 nucleotides) under Malassezia sympodialis ATCC 42132. RNAcentral's name for it is "tRNA-Gly". It matches the Rfam family "tRNA". From Rfam's summary of the family: Transfer RNA (tRNA) molecules are approximately 80 nucleotides in length. Their secondary structure includes four short double-helical elements and three loops (D, anti-codon, and T loops). The record is from RNAcentral. Lineage: Eukaryota; Fungi; Basidiomycota; Malasseziomycetes; Malasseziales; Malasseziaceae.
GCGGCAAUCGUCUAGUGGUUUAGGAUCUCACCUUCCCAUGGCCUUGGCGCUCGGUUCGAGUGGAAGUAGGUGAGGACGGGAGUUCGAACCUCCCUUGUCGCA